Molecule: transfer RNA, 74 nt
Filed under: Lentinula edodes (shiitake mushroom)
Lineage: Eukaryota; Fungi; Basidiomycota; Agaricomycetes; Agaricales; Omphalotaceae
Description: tRNA-Ile
Rfam family: tRNA
About the family: Transfer RNA (tRNA) molecules are approximately 80 nucleotides in length. Their secondary structure includes four short double-helical elements and three loops (D, anti-codon, and T loops).
Source: RNAcentral
GGUUGGAUAGCUCAGUUGGUUGGAGCAUCUGGAAUAUAACCAGAAGGUCCUGGGUUCAAUCCCCAGUCUGGUCA